RNAcentral lists this ribosomal RNA (741 nucleotides) under uncultured Candidatus Poseidoniales archaeon. Its description in RNAcentral is "bacterial SSU rRNA". It matches the Rfam family "Archaeal small subunit ribosomal RNA", at positions 102 to 857 of the family's 1478-position model. The record is from RNAcentral. Lineage: Archaea; Methanobacteriati; Thermoplasmatota; Candidatus Poseidoniia; Candidatus Poseidoniales.
GGAUAACCUGCCCUAUCGUCUGGAAUAACCUCGGGAAACUGAGAAUAAGGCCGGAUAGUUCACAAAGCCUGGAACGGUUUGUGAAUCAAGGUAGGAUGGGUCUGCGGCGUAUCAGGUAGUAGGGGGUGUAAAGGACCCCCUAGCCUUCGACGCGUACGGGUGUUGGGAGACAUAGCCCGGAGAUGGAUUCUGAGACACGAAUCCAGACCCUACGGGGUGCAGCAGGCGCGAAAACUUCACACUGCAGGAAACUGUGAUGAGGGAACUCCAAGUGUGUGCACUAUGUGUACACUUUUAUGAACUUUUAAUCGGUUCAGGAAUAAGGGCUGGGAAAGACCGGUGCCAGCCGCCGCGGUAAUACCGGCAGCUCAAGUGGUCGUCGCUUUUAUUGGGCCUAAAACGUCCGUAGCCUGUUUGGUAAAUCUGUGGGUAAAUCAACUCGCUCAACGAGUUGAAUUCUGCAGAGACUGCCAGACUAGGGACCGGGAGAGGCGUGGGGUACUCGAGGGGUAGGGGUAAAAUCCUGUCAUCCUUCGAGGACCACCAGUUGCGAAGGCGCCACACUGGAACGGAUCCGACGGUCAGGGACGAAGCCUAGGGGCACGAACCGGAUUAGAUACCCGGGUAGUCCUAGGUGUAAACGCUGUGAACUUGGUGUCGGGGGUCCGCAAGGGGUCCCCGGUGCCGGAGUGAAGAUGUUAAGUUCACUGCCUGGGGAGUACGGUCGCAAGGCUGAAACUU